This 872-nucleotide long non-coding RNA is filed under the name Sorghum bicolor (sorghum). RNAcentral describes it as "long non-coding RNA (SBIC_LNC003731)". The record is from RNAcentral. Lineage: Eukaryota; Viridiplantae; Streptophyta; Magnoliopsida; Poales; Poaceae.
ACCGCGUGUGUCAAUCGAUGCCAUUUGCCAAUAUAUAUGUUAUCGGCUCUCUCCGACCAAAAAACAAAACCUCUUGACGAGAGCUAUGCAUGCAUGUUUGUCUUGCUGACGACAGGCCUGUGUAGAAAAGGUAGACAACAGAUCAAACUUUUCUUCCAUCUCUGUCAAAGAACAAUACUGUAGAUGGACAAAUAACCCUGAAAAGUAUGGUAUUAUAAACAAAACAACUUGUCGAGUUUCCUUGUGCAGGUAGAUAUAGUAGAUGAACCACCCAAAAAGCCUUUUCAAAAGAACACCCAAAAAGCUCCCUCGCCAAUUCUUUUUGUUCCCUUGCCAAACAACACAAACCAAAUCCAGAAACCAGACUCAUCAGUCAUCAGACAGGAAAAGUGGAGAGAAAAAAGGACGACUUGGAUUUCACAUCGAAGCUAGUAGCGGUCAGUCUCAUCGACCUGCUCCCAUUUAUGUAAAAUCAAAGACCUAAACACAUCCUUUCCACAUAUUCCAGCAACUUCCUCCUUCUCCUUGGAUGGACUAGGUACAGAGGAGCUAGCCUUUUUUGCAUGAUGCAAUGGCCUUUUCCAAUUUGGUAGUUGUAACCAGGGCAGCAUGUAUUUAAGUUGUGAUCUUCUUGAAAGGUUUCUGGCUGGUAUUUGUGGACAUGCUUACCUACCUGGAAUGCCCGGGCAUGCAAAAGCGAAAUGUUGGUUUCAGCUGAGAAUGAUAAUAGCAUAGAGUAUGUAUAUGUCUUUUCAGGUUGUCUGGUGCAUGCAUUAUAUUUCUUGAUUGAUGUGCUCAUUGAGGUAGUCUCACCAAACCCACCAACGCAUCAUCAUAUGGUUUCCUUUUAGGAGGAUCUACAUAGAGUGGGC